Molecule: long non-coding RNA, 1156 nt
Organism: Chlorocebus sabaeus (green monkey)
Lineage: Eukaryota; Metazoa; Chordata; Mammalia; Primates; Cercopithecidae
Source: RefSeq, a predicted model, not a curated record
AUUGUAAAACAAAAUCAUCAGUAUAUAAAAUCAGUACAUAAUUAGCAAGCUAUCCUCCAAGAAGCAGAUCACAUCACACACUGUCCAAAAGGAACAGCUUUGCUGACAAGGCACUGACAUAGUUAAGAGAAACCAUGAAUCACGCAAGGGGCCAGGAAAAUGGUGCUGCCCAGCUCACAUUCAGAGGCAGCAUAAUUUAUGAAGCUCUGAGGACAGUGGGAGGUAGGCUGUCAGAAAUGCUAAGUCCUCUGUGGAAUUAUUACAUUCCCUUUGAAAGAUUCCAUGUCAUUGAAACGAGGUAAUCUGGGGAAGCUUGGAGGUUCUGUGCAAUUGGGGAAAUGUGCAAAGAUACUUGGAAAUGAAGCCAAAUUUUUUUCAGCCCUUUUCCCACUGGAAAUCAGGCCCAAGGUCUUAUGAAAACAGACUUUCUUUUCAAACAUCAGGAGGAAAUACUGCAAGAAGGAUGCCCAUGGCACUUUGAAUGUUCCGGAUCCACCAAUAUCAGAAAGAUCUUCAGUGAGGUGGAGGAGCAGCGCAGCAGCCAAGAGAAAGAUGGGAUUGACAGAGGGAAAUAAAAAGAAUUCUGAAAUGUAAUAGACUGGAUAAUCAGGAUACAGUAGGCCAUGGUCACAUUUGAGCUCCAGGUGGUGUCUGAUUGACUUGGAAACAGUGCAGUCGGGGCAAAUUUUGCCCUCACAUUUCCUGGCAACUUUGGGUUCAAAGAUAUUAGCUGUUACUUGACAUUCCUACUGGCAAAAAUGAAGGGCAUGCCUCUGUUGACAAAGCAUGAAAUGUCAUCUGUUGUCUCUGUAAUGCCAUAAAUAAAAAUAAGUCAUUGAUUCCAUAGAAGAGCAAGAAAAAAGAGCAGGAAGAGCAUAAAUGUUAGUUACCAUAUUUCUCCGUCAUCUGUGUCAUGCGAUGGGGCAGCACAUGUCACCAGGCAACAGCAACAUGGGGCUGUUUCUUGGCCCUCUCAGCUCCGGGACUGGGAUAAUCCAUUAAAUCAUCUCACAACUUUCUGGGUAUUCUUGAGCCCUAUUCAUCCUCUUUGGUUCCGAAACUGAUUUAGAGAAGGGGGACUCUGAGUAAUCUGUAAAGUACUGUUUAUCUACAAGAUUUUGGUAUGCUAAGCCUGAAUCAGCAAUUAGGUUUAAUG